RNAcentral lists this ribosomal RNA (253 nucleotides) under uncultured bacterium. RNAcentral describes it as "partial 16S ribosomal RNA". It matches the Rfam family "Bacterial small subunit ribosomal RNA", at positions 524 to 776 of the family's 1533-position model. The record is from RNAcentral.
UACGGGGGGGGCAAGCGUUGUUCGGAAUUACUGGGCGUAAAGGGCGCGUAGGCGGCCUGCUAAGUCGGACGUGAAAUCCCCCGGCUCAACCGGGGAACUGCGUCCGAUACUGGUGGGCUCGAAUCCGGGAGAGGGAUGUGGAAUUCCAGGUGUAGCGGUGAAAUGCGUAGAUAUCUGGAGGAACACCGGUGGCGAAGGCGGCAUCCUGGACCGGUAUUGACGCUGAGGCGCGACAGCGUGGGGAGCAAACAGG